This 844-nucleotide ribosomal RNA is filed under the name uncultured Diversisporaceae. Its description in RNAcentral is "eukaryotic LSU rRNA". It matches the Rfam family "Eukaryotic large subunit ribosomal RNA", at positions 1 to 695 of the family's 3401-position model. The record is from RNAcentral. Lineage: Eukaryota; Fungi; Glomeromycota; Glomeromycetes; Diversisporales.
GACCUCAACUCAAGUAAGAAUACCCGCUGAACUUAAGCAUAUCAAUAAGCGGAGGAAAAGAAACUAACAAGGAUUCCCUUAGUAACGGCGAGUGAAGAGGGAAAAGCUCAAAUUUAAAAUCGGCCCCCAGGUCGAGUUGUAAUUUGAAGAAGCGUUUUCGGUUCCUGUGAUUUGGUCUAAGUUCUUUGGAACAAGGCAUCAUGGAGGGUGAGAAUCCCGUUCAUGAUCAAAUUAUGGGUUACCAAUUGAUACGCUUUCUAAGAGUCGAGUUGUUUGGGAAUGCAGCCCAAAAUGGGUGGUAGAUUUCACCUAAGGCUAAAUAUAAGCGAGAGACCGAUAGCGAACAAGUACCGUGAGGGAAAGAUGAAAAGAACUUUGAAAAGAGAGUUAAAUAGUACGUGAAAUUGUUGAAAGGGAAACGAUUGAAGCCAGUCGUGCUGGCGAGAAAUCAGUUUUGACAAGUUUGGUGUUGGAGGUUGAAAUAGGGUCAAACCGUUUCUUCUUUUAACAUUAUUCUAGCCGGGGCGUAUUUUCUUGCUUUUGCAGGUCAACAUCGAUUUUGUGAAUCGUAAAAUAACUGGGGGAAUGUAGCUCUUUUUCGGAAGAGUGUUAUAGACCCUGGGAGAUGCGGUCCAUGAGAUCGAGGAUUGCAGCGAAUACCCUUCUGGGCUUGUCACCUAAUCUCUGGACGUGGUCUUGCUGAUGACAAUAUUUUUGACAUUGGCGAGAUUUAGCGGCCAUUAGGUUAGAGUGUUCUAAAAUUCGCUAAGGAUGUUGACGUAAUGGCUUUAAACGACCCGUCUUGAAACACGGACCAAGGAGUCUAACAUAUGUGCGAGUGUUU